RNAcentral lists this long non-coding RNA (272 nucleotides) under Elaeis guineensis (African oil palm). RNAcentral's name for it is "long non-coding RNA (EGUI_LNC000217)". Lineage: Eukaryota; Viridiplantae; Streptophyta; Magnoliopsida; Arecales; Arecaceae. The record is from RNAcentral.
ACCCACAACCACAGACCAGCAUCCCAUUAUUUGCUCAUGGGCUGUACUAGAGCACAAAUUGCUUUUGCACUGCAGGGAGCAUGAUAUGCAUUUAAGGCUGCACUGCAUUCCAAAGCAAAUUGCUUAGCUCCUCUCAGCUAGUUUUUUUUUUUUUUUUUUGUCUCAAUUCAUUGAAGUUUCCUUGUUACAUGUUUAAUGCGAAUGCUCCACUGCACUGGAUGUUUUGUCACAGGAAACCCAAGGAAGAAAGUCAUAUUUCCCCAAUAGAACCA